GUUUUCCCAAGGUCGCACUACAUGGAGAAGUUGGAAUACGAUUGGCACUGGAUGCAGGACAAGAAGUUGGGCAAAGGCACCAGCAGCCACAGAGGUUUCCAGGAAGAAAAUUGACACCGGAAAGAUCCCACAACAGUGUCUUGUUCAAGGUCAUAGGUUUUGCACAGGAAACUUGUGAUUCGAGCUGAAGAACUCUGGAAAAUCUAUGGAAUUUGAAGUACCAUGUCUCUCUC
RNAcentral lists this long non-coding RNA (233 nucleotides) under Callithrix jacchus (white-tufted-ear marmoset). Its description in RNAcentral is "lncRNA (ENSCJAG00000070974.1)". The record is from RNAcentral. Lineage: Eukaryota; Metazoa; Chordata; Mammalia; Primates; Cebidae.